GUGAAUCAUCGAAUCUUUGAACGCAAAUUGCACUCUCUGCGGAUAGUAUGCCUGUUUGAGUGUCAGCCUAAAAAAAAAUCUACAUAGUCUCCGUUUCGCGGUUACAUUCGGCUGUAAUUGUGUCAUCUUAAAUCUAUGGGUUUUAAACGUCUUAAAAUUUUCUUUACUAUUCCACGAACGUUUCUUAAAUUUACUUCUUUUACGUUUAUGGUAUCGAUCUUUAGUACACGUUUCCAUUUCAUCGGAGA
RNAcentral lists this unclassified non-coding RNA (248 nucleotides) under Glomus sp. RNAcentral describes it as "partial contains 5.8S ribosomal RNA and internal transcribed spacer 2". The stretch from base 1 to 65 matches the Rfam family "5.8S ribosomal RNA", at positions 84 to 154 of the family's 154-position model. Lineage: Eukaryota; Fungi; Glomeromycota; Glomeromycetes; Glomerales; Glomeraceae. The record is from RNAcentral.